Cavia porcellus (domestic guinea pig) is the source of this 864-nucleotide long non-coding RNA. RefSeq lists it as uncharacterized. The transcript has 2 exons. NCBI's taxonomy places the organism in Eukaryota, Metazoa, Chordata, Mammalia, Rodentia, Caviidae. The record is from RefSeq and is a predicted model, not a curated record.
GUCUUUUUGUCCGCACGGGAGCGGGUGUUUUUCUCCAGCCGCUGGUCCGGUGUUCCUGAGGAGGAGGCUACGGUGUGCCGCCUGGGCUGCUUCGGGCUCUGCUCCCCAUGUCCUGCGCCGCCCGGCAGGUUCAUCUUUGGGGUAUAUGGUUAUACCAGGUCACUGAGUGUCUAUCAGAAGUUACACCAAUGCCAUGGGAAGACCCUGUUGCUGGUGGUACUAGUGGGGAACAAGGCAGAUCUUUCUCUGGACAGAGAGGUGCAGGAAGUCCAAGAGAAGAAACUAGCAGAGCCCUGGAGUGCAACACGCAUAGAGUCAUCUUGCUUAAGAGAAUGGGUUGAUUCAAAGCAUCACCACCAGAGUCAUCCAGGCCGAUGACUCCACCAAUGACUCUGUCGAUGCUGUCGGAUGUGAACUCUCAGGCACAGGGUGACUACCUCAUUUCUGCCAUCAGUGCUCCUUAAGCUCCAGCAGGGGCAGACUCUUAAGACUUAAUGGAUAUGGUUGCAGUGUGUCUGAGGCCCUAUGGACACACAGUGUGGUACCCUCAUAUUGACACACUUUCCCUAGGUUCCAGUAGUCUGGUGUCAACGUUUACAAAAGGGCAGGGAUGUCUCGUGGGUACCAGUCCCUAUCCCCCUUUUUGAUAAAUGAAUUUUUUAGAAUAUGCAUGGUUGGUAUUUGAGUUGUGGGCAUUUACCAAGAGCUCAUCCAUCUGUGUAGGUCUUGAGUGUUGGGCGGAUAAGGAGGGCUAAGGACUGCUGAAAUAGAGGUGGCUGCCUGGAAUAACAAUGUAUAUAUGCAAACAAAUUGAGAAAUAUUUUUAAAUGAAAUACCAGCAAUAUACCAAGUAAAUUCUCCCAA